Molecule: long non-coding RNA, 366 nt
Filed under: Sparus aurata (gilthead seabream)
Lineage: Eukaryota; Metazoa; Chordata; Actinopteri; Spariformes; Sparidae
Description: lncRNA (ENSSAUG00010014070.1)
Source: RNAcentral
UCAACAAACACGUCACCAUUUUCUAGUUUUUUCCCUUUUUUUACAAGUUAUAUUUUAAGAGUGGAAUUUACCUCUUGACACUCAGAAAUUGACAGACGCAUCAGCUGAAAGGUCAAGAGUGUUUGGUUUGUCCGCUCUGGGCUGCUGUAGAAACAUGGCAGCCAGCCUGGAGGAGGACCCGCCUCCCUCUGCGGAUGCAAAAGGUUCAUUCUAACAUAAAACCGACGCAGCAACUCGUAGUUUCAGGCUGCCCUCGCUGCACACAUGCUGCACAGAUCCUGCAGCUGACCAGGGGGCCUGAAGACGAAGCCGGUCCCCAGGGAUGACCGAACCACCCUUUCUCAGACACCCAUUUGUCGUACCCAC